Daktulosphaira vitifoliae (grape phylloxera) is the source of this 3156-nucleotide RNA transcript. It is a transcript of the gene named GATOR complex protein MIOS, with no coding region annotated. The transcript has 18 exons. Lineage: Eukaryota; Metazoa; Arthropoda; Insecta; Hemiptera; Phylloxeridae. The record is from RefSeq and is a predicted model, not a curated record.
AAUAUCAAUUGCUCUCUAGAAAAAUGUAUUUUUCUUAGUUAUCAUUAUUUUUAUGCUUAUCAUUCAUUGAAAUAUUUUAAAUUAUAAAUCAGUUAUUUUGUUGGAAUAUUAAAAUUAAUUUUUGACUAUUUAAACGUUAUUAUUGUGUCUAUAGUUUUUACUUAAUGGUCAAGAGAAAUCGAAUUGUCUGGAUAAAUUCUUCAACAUGUUUGUUUCGCGAGGAGAGAUUUCGAAAUUAGAAAUACAGUGGUCACCAAUACAUGAAAAUAAAUUUAUUACAUGGGGACCUGAUAUACGGAUGUAUGAAGUAACAUCUGUUCCAGAAAAUUACAAAAAUCAUGAUGUUCCUAAAGGUGUAAUAUUAUCUUCAAAUACUAUAGCCAAUCUUGUAGCCACAAGUACAAACCAUCGUUAUGUGAAAUGUAUUGAUAUUUAUCCAAAACCUGAAUCAGAAAUAAUGUUAGCUAUUGGGCACGCAAAUGGAAAAAUAUCAUUUUGUAAUUUUGGAUUGGCUAGUAAUAAUAGCAAUAAUAUAUUAGCAGGACUUGAAUUAGGGCCAAGUUCACGUUUUGCUAGGCAAUGUAAUUCUAUUUCAUGGAAUCCAGUUAAUUAUAAUUUAUUAGCCUGUGGAUUAGAUAAACAUCGUUCUGAUCAAUGUGUACAAAUAUGGGAUGUAGAAAAAAGUCCAUUAAUGAAUGCGGAUUUAACAGCAGCUAGACCAUUUUUUGAGUAUGGAAUAGGUGAAACAGCUCAUUCAAUAGCAUGGUUUAAUUCAUCUCCUCAUGUUUUAGCUGUGAGUUGCAACAAUAAGCAAAUUCGUUGUGUAGAUAUUAGAGAUGCAUCUCGUUCUACAAAUACAGCACACACUAGAGCGGUGUUUGGUAUUGAUAUUGCGGCUUACAAUAAUAAUCAUAUUGUAUCUUAUAAUGAUAAUAGUAUUGUGCUAUGGGAUUCACGACAUUUAGAAAAACCUGUUGUAACUCUUAUUCAGAGCAAAAGUAUUAUCAAAGUUCAAUGGUGUCCAACUAGACAUAAUUUAUUGGGAUCAUUACAAAAAGAUACAAUGGCUAUUAGUCUACAUGACAUGCAACAAAGUAUGGAGGAAGCUGAACCAUCAGCUUUAGAAAGAACUGUACAUCCCGGACAAGGAAAUAUUCACUUAGCAUCAUUUUCUUGGCAUCCAAUCCAUGAAAAUAGAUUAUUGGCUAUUUCCCAAACUGGUAUUAUGAAUGAUUACUGGGUAUUUGAAAGAAUGACAUUGAAUUGGUCUACUACAUCAAAUAUAGUAUGGACUUAUGGACAAAAUAAUCUUAAAUUUAUUAGUGAUAAAGACUUGAUAUACUCAUCUUUUGAAGAUGUAUCUAUUGCAAUAAAAAUGCGAGCAUUUUCUCAAUAUGGUAUCAAAGAUUUUGUUGAAAAUGCUAAACUUGUUGAUGAUCCUAUCAUAAAAAAUGUUUGGUCUUGGUUAGAUUUAAACAGAAGAGUUACUAAAACUGGUCUUGUUCCCACAACUUCAGAUAUACCAUUUCCUGGUAUAAAAACUGUUUUGGGUUUAGAAUCUACAACAACAAUAUUAAAGUCUGAAUUAAAACAUGUGCAAUGGGUUGACAUCCAAGGAACUGUGAAAACCUAUCGAAGUUUAGCUAGAGAUCAUGCCCUAUAUUUGUGUGAUUGGGGCUUUGACCGUAACAAUGUGUCUCAUAUAUCUAAUUUAUUAAGAAAAUUAGAAAAUGAAAAUUCUUACACAAGAGCAGCUUCAAUAGCAAUAUUCAAUUUACGUAUGCGUGAUGCUAUUGAAACAUUAAAUAAAGGAGCUAAUCAGUUACCUCAUCUAAGCAUGAUUGCAAUGGCUCUAUCAGGUUAUAGCCCAGAUAAAUAUAGUAUGUGGCGAGAACUGUGCUCAAAAACUAGGGAAAAGUUAACUGAUCCUUAUUUACGAGCAGCUUUUGCUUUUUUGACUACUGAUUCGGAUUCACAUGAUGCAGUUUUGAAUGAAAUUGGUAUACCAUUAGAAGACAGAAUUGCAUUUGCUUGUAUUUUUUUAUCUGACACAAAGUUAAUUGAAUAUAUAAACAAUAUAACUGAAAAAUUAUUGGAUCAAGGCAAUUUAUCUGCUAUAUUUUUAAUAGGAUCAUCUCCUGAAAUAGUUCCUUUAUUACAAAGAUAUUUGGAUAAUACAGGUGAUAUACAGACUGUUAGUAUUUUAGUUUUAAAAACAAUCCCCUGUGAUAUUGUCCAUGAACAUCCUAAUAUGAUGAAUUGGAUAAACAGUUAUAGAGAAAUGUUAGAUGAAUGGCGUAUGUGGCAUAUUAGAGCCAAAUUUGACAUAGCUCUAAAAGCUGUAAAACCUCCUCCACAGAAUGUAUUUCUAUCAUGUAAUUAUUGUGGUAAAAAUAUUUGCCCGACUGCUGAUGAAAGAGAAAAAGAUUCGGAAAAGGAAGUAAAAGUUCAAAGAAUAAAAGAUCAAGGCAUUGAAAAUGGAUCCAAUAAUUUAAAAUUUACAGCAUGUCCUAAUUGUCAAAGUCCAUUACCUCGGUGUGCAUUGUGUUUAGCACAUCUAGGAACUGCUAGUGCUAAAAUUCCAAUACGAAAAAAUUCUAACAAACAGUUGUCAAACAGCUCUUACAUGAUGACAGGACAAGGAGUAAAUAAUUUUUCAUAUUGGUUUUCUUGGUGUCCAACCUGUAACCAUGGUGGUCAUUCAAAUCAUAUUACUGAUUGGUUCAGCAAUCUUUCCAUGCUCCAUGAGAUGUAUUUCAAUAGGGUGUGCACGGCGUCAUUUGUACUGAGAAAUGUUUGCAUUAUUGGUGGUCUAGAGCUUUGUCGAUCUUAAGUAGAGAUCUGUGGGCCAAUUAUUAAUGAUUAAGUACUGAAAAGAUCAACACAAUUAAUUAAAGUCUUGAAGACGCUAGCACUUUUUUUGACGUCGACGACGUGGUAUCUGGCAUGAUCCUCAGGCGUCAAGAUAUUAGAUAGAAGGCGACGUUGCAGUAGCCCAAAUCCUUGAAAUCAUUUAGAAUGUCCAGUUGCUGAUUGUGUUUGCCGAUGUUAUUCCUUGGAUUCUACUAGCCGUUAUUCUUCCUUAUAAGAACAACUCAUCAAAUCUUUUUUCUAUAUAUUUAUAAGAAAAAAUGGAUAGAUUCAAUUUAAUAUGCC